Olea europaea var. sylvestris is the source of this 559-nucleotide long non-coding RNA. RefSeq lists it as uncharacterized. NCBI's taxonomy places the organism in Eukaryota, Viridiplantae, Streptophyta, Magnoliopsida, Lamiales, Oleaceae. The record is from RefSeq and is a predicted model, not a curated record. The transcript has 3 exons.
UCAAGAUAAACUCUUCAAAGAUGCUCAUCAAGAAGCAUUGAAGAAAGAAAUAGAGAGACUGAGGCAAGUAUAUUAUCAUCAAAAUCUCAAGAAGACUGAAAAUGGUACCCCAGAGUCACCACCAAGGCCCGCUGAAGAACAACUUGUUAGCUGAGCCAUAAUGGCUAAGGAAUUUAAAUUACUGGAGGAAAAUUCUAAUUGAAGAGGAGCCUGCAAAAAUUCAUUAAAGGGAACUCAUGAUUAUUAAGAAGCCCUUUUUUCUUUUUCUUUUCGUUCAUAUUUUUUUGGUUUUGUUAUUUUUUAUUCACAGAUGAGUGUGGUUAAUUUUUUGUCUACCAGUCAUCAUAAUUUUAUUUUUAUUUUUUGUUAUUAUUUUUGAAUUAUUUCAAGGAUGACAAGUGAUAGUGGGUUGUGUUGGGAGAUUGUUUUCAUGACCUUUUUUCAGUGUCUGUUGUUCCAUGUGUGUGGUAUUCUUUAUUUGUUCUUUUCAAGAGAAGAAUAAGUAAAUAUGUAAAUAUUCAUCUUUGACUGUACUUAGUUAACUCAAAGUUCAAUGCAA